GUGGGCCUACGGGGGGCAGCAGUGGGGAAUAUUGCACAAUGGGGGAAACCCUGAUGCAGCGACGCCGCGUGAGUGAAGAAGUAUCUCGGUACGUAAAGCUCUAUCAGCAGGGAAGAAAAAAAGUCUUUGGCUUUGGACGGUACCUGACUAAGAAGCCCCGGCUAACUACGUGCCAGCAGCCGCGGUAAUACGUAGGGGGCAAGCGUUAUCCGGAUUUACUGGGUGUAAAGGGAGCGUAGACGGCAGCGCAAGUCUGGAGUGAAAACCCGGGGCUCAACCCCGGGACUGCACUGGAAAC
RNAcentral lists this ribosomal RNA (298 nucleotides) under uncultured bacterium. RNAcentral's name for it is "partial 16S ribosomal RNA". It matches the Rfam family "Bacterial small subunit ribosomal RNA", at positions 333 to 633 of the family's 1533-position model. The record is from RNAcentral.